This 1483-nucleotide ribosomal RNA is filed under the name uncultured bacterium. Its description in RNAcentral is "bacterial SSU rRNA". It matches the Rfam family "Bacterial small subunit ribosomal RNA". The record is from RNAcentral.
ACAGAGGUAUUUUGAUCCUGGCUCAGAGCGAACGUUAGCGGCGCGCCUAACACAUGCAAGUCGCACGAGAAAGGGGCCUUCGGGCUUAUUGAGUAAAGUGGCGUCCGGGUGCGUAACACGUAGGUAAUCUCCCCUCCGGUGGGGAAUAUAUCCGCUCGAAAGGGCGGCUAAUACCGCAUGAGACCACGACUGCCACGGCAGACGCGGUUUAUAAGGUGGCCUCUCCAUGGAAGCUAUCGCCGGAGGAUGAGCCUGCGGCCCAUCAGCAAGUUGGUAGGGUAACGGCCUACCAAGGCAAAGACGAUGUAGCUGGUCUGAGAGGAUGAUCAGCCACCACUGGCACUGAAACACGGGCCAGACUCCUUCGGGAGGCAGCAGUGGGGAAUAUUGGACAAUGCGCACAAGCCUGAUCCAGCGACGCCGCGUGCGAGUGAUGAAGGCCUUCGGGUUGUAAAGCUCUGUGGGGAGGGACGAAAAAGGUCGGGAACAAUACCCCGGCCCUUGACGGUACCUCCUUAGCCAAGCACCGGCUAACUCUGUGCCAGCAUCCGCGGUAAGACAAUGGGUGCAAACGUUGCUCGAUAAUUACUGGGCGUAAAGCGCGUGUAGGCGGACAAUCAAGUCAGGUGUGAAAUCCCAUGGCUCUUCCCAGGAACUGCAUCUGAAACUGCGUGUCUACAGUGUCGGAGAGGGAAGCGGAAUUCCUGGUGUAGAGGUGAAAUUCGUAGAUAUCAGGAGGAACACAUCCUGGCGAAGGCGGCUUCCUGGACGACUACUAUCGCUGAGACGCGAAAGCGUGGGGAGCAAACAGGAUUAGAUACCCUGGUAGUCCACGCCGUAGGCGAUGGGUGCUAGGCUCAACGAUUUUGACCCCUGCGGUGCCGUAGCUAACGCGUUAAGCACUUCGCCUGAUGAGUACGGCCGCAAAUGCUAAAACUCAAAGGAAUUGACGGUGAAAACACAAGCGGUGGAGCAUGUGGUUUAAUUCGACGCAAAUGCGCAGAACCUUACCCGGGCUAGAAAAUGCCAGAACCCUGUAGAAAUACGGGGGUGCCCGCAAGGGAGCUGGUAUCAUAGUGCUGCAUGGCUGUCGUCAGCUCGUUUAUGAGGUGUUGGGUUAAGUCCCGCAACGGCAGUACGCAACCCCUGUCCUUAGUUGCCAGCAGUUCGGCUGGGCACUCUAAGGAGACUGCCGGCGUCAAGCCGGAGGAAGGUGGGGAUGACGUCAAGUCCUCAUGGCCCUUAUGUCCGGAUAUUACACACGUGCUACAAUGGCCGGAUAUUGCGCAGCUAACUCGCGAGAUUCAGGUGCCAAUCGCAAAAAGCCGACCUCAGUACGGAUUGCAGUCUGCAACUCGACUGCAUGAAGUCGGAAUCGCUAGUAAUCCCUGAUCAGCAGGCAGGGGUGAAUACGUUCCCGGGCCUUGUACAUAUCCGCCCGUCUUACCAUAUAUUUUAUCAGAAGACCCAGGGGUAGCCAGAG